GAUGAAGAACGUAGCGAAAUGCGAUACUUGGUGUGAAUUGCAGAAUCCCGUGAACCAUCGAGUCUUUGAACGCAAGUUGCGCCCGAAGCCAUCAGGUUGAGGGCACGUCUGCCUGGGCGUCACAUAUCGUUGCCCAAUGCCUAUUACAGUGCAAUAGGAAUUUCUAGGGCGAAUGAUGGCUUCCCGUGAGCGUUGUUGCCUCGCGGUUGGUUGAAAAUCGAGUCCUUGGUAGGGUGUGCCAUGGUAGAUGGUGGUCGAGUUAGAACGAUACCGAUCAUGUGCAUGCUCCCCAAAAUAUGGCCUCUAUGACCCACACGCGUCUUUUGACGCUCAUGACGAGACCUCAGGUCAGGCGGGGCUACCCGCUGAAUUUAAGCAUAUCAAUAAGCGGAGGA
RNAcentral lists this unclassified non-coding RNA (395 nucleotides) under soil metagenome. RNAcentral describes it as "partial contains 5.8S ribosomal RNA, internal transcribed spacer 2, and large subunit ribosomal RNA". The stretch from base 1 to 122 matches the Rfam family "5.8S ribosomal RNA", at positions 35 to 154 of the family's 154-position model. The record is from RNAcentral.